GAUGAACGCUGGCGGCGUGCCUAAUACAUGCAAGUCGAGCGAACAGACGAGGAGCUUGCUCCUCUGACGUUAGCGGCGGACGGGUGAGUAACACGUGGAUAACCUACCUAUAAGACUGGGAUAACUUCGGGAAACCGGAGCUAAUACCGGAUAAUAUAUUGAACCGCAUGGUUCAAUAGUGAAAGACGGUUUUGCUGUCACUUAUAGAUGGAUCCGCGCCGCAUUAGCUAGUUGGUAAGGUAACGGCUUACCAAGGCAACGAUGCGUAGCCGACCUGAGAGGGUGAUCGGCCACACUGGAACGGAGACACGGUCCAGACUCCUACGGGAGGCAGCAGUAGGGAAUCUUCCGCAAUGGGCGAAAGCUUGACGGAGCAACGCCGCGUGAGUAAUGAAGGUCUUCGGAUCGUAAAACUCUGUUAUUAGGGAAGAACAAAUGUGUAAGUAACUAUGCACGUCUUGACGGUACCUAAUCAGAAAGCCACGGCUAACUACGUG
This 497-nucleotide ribosomal RNA is filed under the name uncultured bacterium. RNAcentral's name for it is "partial 16S ribosomal RNA". It matches the Rfam family "Bacterial small subunit ribosomal RNA", at positions 28 to 507 of the family's 1533-position model. The record is from RNAcentral.